AAGACUAUACUUUCAGGGAUCAUUUCUAUAGUUUGUUACUAGAGAAGUUUCUCUGAUCGUGUAGAGAAGUAACUGUGCAAAACCAAAGGGAAGGGCUGUAUUUACUUCUGAAAGGA
This 116-nucleotide small nucleolar RNA is filed under the name Tupaia belangeri chinensis (Chinese tree shrew). Its description in RNAcentral is "Tupaia chinensis (Chinese tree shrew) Small nucleolar RNA U3". It matches the Rfam family "Small nucleolar RNA U3". From Rfam's summary of the family: Small nucleolar RNAs (snoRNAs) are involved in the processing and modification of rRNA in the nucleolus. Lineage: Eukaryota; Metazoa; Chordata; Mammalia; Scandentia; Tupaiidae. The record is from Rfam by way of RNAcentral.